AAAUUGAAGAGUUUGAUCAUGGCUCAGAUUGAACGCUGGCGGCAGGCCUAACACAUGCAAGUCGAACGGUAACAGGAAGCAGCUUGCUGCUUCGCUGACGAGUGGCGGACGGGUGAGUAAUGUCUGGGAAACUGCCUGAUGGAGGGGGAUAACUACUGGAAACGGUAGCUAAUACCGCAUAACGUCGCAAGACCAAAGAGGGGGACCUUCGGGCCUCUUGCCAUCGGAUGUGCCCAGAUGGGAUUAGCUAGUAGGUGGGGUAACGGCUCACCUAGGCGACGAUCCCUAGCUGGUCUGGAGGAUGACCAGCCACACUGGAACUGAGACACGGUCCAGACUCCUACGGGAGGCAGCAGUGGGGAAUAUUGCACAAUGGGCGCAAGCCUGAUGCAGCCAUGCCGCGUGUAUGAAGAAGGCCUUCGGGUUGUAAAGUACUUUCAGCGGGGAGGAAGGCGAUAAGGUUAAUAACCUUGUCGAUUGACGUUACCCGCAGAAGAAGCACCGGCUAACUCCGUGCCAGCAGCCGCGGUAAUACGGAGGGUGCAAGCGUUAAUCGGAAUUACUGGGCGUAAAGCGCACGCAGGCGGUCUGUCAAGUCGGAUGUGAAAUCCCCGGGCUCAACCUGGGAACUGCAUUCGAAACUGGCAGGCUAGAGUCUUGUAGAGGGGGUAGAAUUCCAGGUGUAGCGGUGAAAUGCGUAGAGAUCUGGAGGAAUACCGGUGGCGAAGGCGGCCCCCUGGACAAAGACUGACGCUCAGGUGCGAAAGCGUGGGGAGCAAACAGGAUUAGAUACCCCUGGUAGUCCACGCCGUAAACGAUGUCGACUUGGAGGUUGUGCCCUUGAGGCGUGGCUUCCGGAGCUAACGCGUUAAGUCGACCGCCUGGGGAGUACGGCCGCAAGGUUAAAACUCAAAUGAAUUGACGGGGGCCCGCACAAGCGGUGGAGCAUGUGGUUUAAUUCGAUGCAACGCGAAGAACCUUACCUACUCUUGACAUCCAGAGAACUUAGCAGAGAUGCUUUGGUGCCUUCGGGAACUCUGAGACAGGUGCUGCAUGGCUGUCGUCAGCUCGUGUUGUGAAAUGUUGGGUUAAGUCCCGCAACGAGCGCAACCCUUAUCCUUUGUUGCCAGCGGUUAGGCCGGGAACUCAAAGGAGACUGCCAGUGAUAAACUGGAGGAAGGUGGGGAUGACGUCAAGUCAUCAUGGCCCUUACGAGUAGGGCUACACACGUGCUACAAUGGCGCAUACAAAGAGAAGCGACCUCGCGAGAGCAAGCGGACCUCAUAAAGUGCGUCGUAGUCCGGAUUGAGUCUGCAACUCGACUCCAUGAAGUCGGAAUCGCUAGUAAUCGUGGAUCAGAAUGCCACGGUGAAUACGUUCCCGGGCCUUGUACACACCGCCCGUCACACCAUGGGAGUGGGUUGCAAAAGAAGUAGGUAGCUUAACCUUCGGGAGGGCGCUUACCACUUUGUGAUUCAUGACUGGGGUGAAGUCGUAACAAGGUAACCGUAGGGGAACCUGCGGUUGGAUCACCUCCUUA
RNAcentral lists this ribosomal RNA (1540 nucleotides) under Enterobacter hormaechei. RNAcentral's name for it is "bacterial SSU rRNA". It matches the Rfam family "Bacterial small subunit ribosomal RNA". Lineage: Bacteria; Pseudomonadati; Pseudomonadota; Gammaproteobacteria; Enterobacterales; Enterobacteriaceae. The record is from RNAcentral.